This 377-nucleotide ribosomal RNA is filed under the name Ascomycota sp. 030705D. Its description in RNAcentral is "eukaryotic LSU rRNA". It matches the Rfam family "Eukaryotic large subunit ribosomal RNA", at positions 52 to 430 of the family's 3401-position model. Lineage: Eukaryota; Fungi; Ascomycota. The record is from RNAcentral.
GGAGGAAAAGAAACCAACACGGGAUUGCCUCAGUAACGGCGAGUGAAGCGGCAACAGCUCAAAUUUGAAAGCUGCCAACAGGCCGCGUUGUAAUUUGUAGAAGCUGCUUUGGGUGUCGGCCCGGUCUAAGUUCCUUGGAACAGGACGUCAUAGAGGGUGAGAAUCCCGUAUGUGAUCGGUGCCGGUGCCCGUGUAAAGCGCUUUCGACGAGUCGAGUUGUUUGGGAAUGCAGCUCAAAAUGGGUGGUAAAUUUCAUCUAAAGCUAAAUAUUGGCCAGAGACCGAUAGCGCACAAGUAGAGUGAUCGAAAGAUGAAAAGCACUUUGGAAAGAGAGUUAAACAGUACGUGAAAUUGUUGAAAGGGAAACGCUUUGAAGU